CUCUCCUUAGGUGGUUUUUCUUUCAGCCGCUCUCUGAUUUUCCUUCUUUUAAUUGUAACUCUUUGCUUUUUUUUGUCCCUCUACUAUUUGCCCACAGGUUUAACUAGGGGACGGGUUAAAGUCAAAGUUCACCAAGGACAUGUCAAGUCACAUUUUAGGGCUGAUAAAGAUGGAGCAUGCAAGUGGAAAAAAGUCCAUAACGCCCGUGAAAAACUAUUUUUAAUACCUAAAAAUCACAUUUUGAUUUAAAUACACUUGGAAUUGAACUUGUUUUUUGCCAAACAGCAUCUGGCUCUUCACACUUUUAACAGGUUUAUUAAGUGAAUAACUCUGAUUUUAUUGGAGUCAAAGGGUAAAAUGUAAUCUUGGACAUUGUAAAAACCAAGAUUAGGUUUAUGAUAUGUCUAUGAUAUUGUAUCAGGUAUGGCCGUUAUCUCAUGUAGGUUUGAAUUUAAGAAAGGCAGUCAAAUGCUGUGACUUGAUGUGAUUGGUGAGUUGAACAAAAGAGGGCAGCAUUUUAUUACUUUCCCUAAGUUAGACUUAAUGAGAGACUUAAAAGACCAAAUGUUAUAUUCAAGAUAAUACUUAAAUGGCACAUAUUGCCCGUUCAAGCAAAACAGAGGCUCUUGCUACAGCUCAGUAAUCAGUAGAUGUCAGCUGAACACUGGGCGGCCAUAUCUGGAAGUGUUUUUGAUUGUUCCUAUCAGCUGUGUUAUUUUUGUGGGUCUCACCAGCUGUAACAGCAUCUCCAUUUGGAAAAAAGCUCUGACUUCCAGUGGAGCUGCUGUUAUCUGUGGAGAGACACCUCUUUUCAUCAAAACCCCACAACAGCUCUCCUGCUCACUCCUUUUACAGUUGGUCAACUUCUUACUUCAAUCUAUGGUUUGAUGCUGACUAUAAAAUAAAAAUUUCUGGGUUAAUCCAAAUGAA
This is a long non-coding RNA of Cyprinodon tularosa, 930 nucleotides long. RefSeq lists it as uncharacterized. NCBI's taxonomy places the organism in Eukaryota, Metazoa, Chordata, Actinopteri, Cyprinodontiformes, Cyprinodontidae. The record is from RefSeq and is a predicted model, not a curated record. The transcript has 2 exons.